CUUUCUUUGCUACACAGCGUCCUCCGUGGCGAGCUGGAGGGAAGCGCUCUCAGCAGAGAGGGUCGCCCUCACCAAGAAGCCAAAGGGAAGAGGACAGAAUCUAUCUUGUAGGGACGCCCUUGGUCUUCAGAAGGAACACUUUUUCUGUUUCACAGAGAUCUGUGGAAUGUGUGGGUUCCCUGAAGAGGUGGACGGACCCCCGGGGUCGCGCGUUUUCUCAGCCCUGGGCCCGUAGCGGAGCUCGAUCCUUCCAGAGCUCAGGGCCAGAAAUGUUGCGAUUCCGAACACUUUGCCUUUCUUCUGAGAGGAGCCGCCCGGCAGACGCUCAUCAUUAAGAAGCAACGUAAUUAACAACGAAUGUUUCCCCUUGGCGCUAAUGCGAACACCCUGGGGAACUGCCAAGUCUGAUAUGUCCACCGCAUUACAAAUGGGAUUCUCUGGCAUCUGACCAACCCUCACAAUGGCUACUGGCCAUCUCAUGCCCAACAGGACAAUGCUUAUUUCCACCAGGAGAUGGCGCAUGCCUUUUUUUUUUUUUUUUUAAAUCCCCAGGAAGGUCUCAGUGCUGCAAAAGCUCCAUGACCAUUCUGCUUCUAAACUGACGGAGCAAACAUAUAUUUCCAGUGGUAAUGCUAGGAAAUACUUUGCUAAGGAUGUUACUUUGGUCCUUCAGCCAGUGGUCAGAGAACAGAAUGACCAUACUGCAACCACCCAUGGUGAACUGACUGGCACACCUACAAAAAUCUUAUCUUUGGGGUCCCCAUAGUACCCAGUGGAUUGCCUUGCACAUUGUAGGUGCUCAGUAUGUGUUUGCUAAAGACAUGACCCUGGAUAAAUCACUUCACCUCAAUUAGUCUGUUUCCCAAAUCUGAAAAUAAAAGCAGUGAAAUGGACAAGGUGACAGUUAAGGCCUUGAAUCAGAAGAGCCUCUGACAAUGUGACAAAUAGCUUAUGCUUGCUGAAUGGCUGACUUCUCUGAAAGGGAAAACAGCAGAAUCUGAGAGGGGAGAGUGGAGCGGAGUUCUUCCUCCCCUGUGCUAACAGCCUGUAUCCUGACCAUCCUUGCCCCCGACUCCUCUCCCAGCAGCUGAGUGGCUUUUUGGACUGGGUUCUUUUUCCGAACUGCCAGCACCAACUUCCGUGCGUCUUACCUGUGCUUCAGCCGAAGUUUAACCCCUCCUGACCACGCUGCUUUCCUGUGCUGGGGGCCAGAGGUGAGGUGUUCUGGGCUGACGAAGUUAGAGGCACCAGUAUCUGCAUGGCCUGGGUCUGUGCACACAUCUCUGUCAACAAUAGGAAAAGAAGAAGCUGAGCAUGAUGGUGUUCAUGGACAGGAGCACAAAUGAAUCUUAAAAACCGAAAAAGCACAUGAAAACGAACCCCGGAGCCAGAGCAAAGCAGCACAGCUAAGUGCAGGGUUCUAAGCCUGCACCUAACAAAGUUCUCUGCCCUACGAAGGCGAAUCCACUACUGAGUGUCGUGUCUUCCUUUUUUAUCCAUGUUCCUCUGAAGCAAUAAAGCAUUAUUUCCCAA
RNAcentral lists this long non-coding RNA (1533 nucleotides) under Homo sapiens (human). Its description in RNAcentral is "SHROOM3 antisense RNA 1, transcript variant 1 (SHROOM3-AS1)". The record is from RNAcentral. Lineage: Eukaryota; Metazoa; Chordata; Mammalia; Primates; Hominidae.